Molecule: ribosomal RNA, 609 nt
Filed under: uncultured bacterium
Lineage: Bacteria
Description: bacterial SSU rRNA
Rfam family: Bacterial small subunit ribosomal RNA
Source: RNAcentral
CGAACGGAGCACCCCUGAAGGAGUUUUCGGACAACGGAAGGGAAUGCUUAGUGGCGGACUGGUGAGUAACGCGUGAGGAACCUGCCUUUCGGAGGGGGACAACAGUUGGAAACGACUGCUAAUACCGCAUGACGUAUCGGGAUCGCAUGGUCUUGAUACCAAAGAUUUUAUCGCCGAAAGAUGGCCUCGCGUCUGAUUAGCUAGUUGGUGGGGUAACGGCCUACCAAGGCGACGAUCAGUAGCCGGACUGAGAGGUUGGCCGGCCACAUUGGGACUGAGAUACGGCCCAGACUCCUACGGGAGGCAGCAGUGGGGAAUAUUGGGCAAUGGACGCAAGUCUGACCCAGCAACGCCGCGUGAAGGAAGAAGGCUUUCGGGUUGUAAACUUCUUUUAAGGGGGAAGAGCAGAAGACGGUACCCCUUGAAUAAGCCACGGCUAACUACGUGCCAGCAGCCGCGGUAAUACGUAGGUGGCAAGCGUUGUCCGGAUUUACUGGGUGUAAAGGGCGUGCAGCCGGAGAGACAAGUCAGAUGUGAAAUCCACAGGCUCAACCUGUGAACUGCAUUUGAAACUGUUUCCCUUGAGUAUCGGAGAGGUCAUCGGAAUUC